GCUGACAGCAGGAGCAGCUUGAUAGUAGGCGGCGGCGGGGGCUGGGACCGACAGCGGCAGUGGGGGGCGACUUUCCUUCCUCCCCCAGCCACCUUCCUCCCCCUCUCCACUAGGUGCAGCGGCAGUGGGAGUGGAGCCUCUGCCGGCUGCCUCCCUCCACACGUCCACUCGUUGCCCCCUCUGAAGGAUGGAACAAAAUAUCGUCCAGAGACCCUCUAUUACAUACUCUUCCACCCGCUGAACGAGGCGAAGCUCCCUGCAGCUAUUGAACAAUACAUGCCUAAGAUUAGAAAGAUCUCCAAGUAGUUUAGCCCUGUUCUUUUUCCUUUUUGUUUUCCUGAGGAAAUGAAGAUGUGGUUAAUGACAUACCUUUUGACCUAUAAGUGAUUGGCCGCGUGAAAUUUCAGUCAUAAUGGUUACACAAUUUUGUCAGUUUGGUAAUGUGUCUAUGUGCACUAUCCAGCUAGGAAGCAGUGGUGAAAAAAUGCUCUCUCCAUUUGUAUUUUAGUAGUAAUAGAAUUUACUGCCUGUAAUAGAAUCUAGCAGUAAUGCUGCUAAUGAUUUGUAGUAACUUACAUGUAUGUCUGGCAGUAACACAACCGAUUUGUAUUAUUUUUUUGGUAACACAAAUGCAA
Molecule: long non-coding RNA, 635 nt
Filed under: Oryza sativa Indica Group (long-grained rice)
Lineage: Eukaryota; Viridiplantae; Streptophyta; Magnoliopsida; Poales; Poaceae
Description: lncRNA OsIR64_07g0014480
Source: RNAcentral